UACGUAGGGUGCAAGCGUUAAUCGGAAUUAUUGGGCGUAAAGGGUGCGCAGGCGGUUGACUAAGACGGAUGUGAAAGCCCUGGGCUCAACCUGGGAACUGCAUACGUGACUGGUCAACUAGAAUAUGGCAGAGGGAGGUCGAAUUCCACAUGUAGCAGUGAAAUGCGUAGAUAUGUGGAGGAAUACCGAUGGCGAAGGCAGCCUCCUGGGUCAAUAUUGACGCUCAGGCACGAAAGCGUGGGGAGCAAACAGG
RNAcentral lists this ribosomal RNA (253 nucleotides) under uncultured bacterium. RNAcentral's name for it is "partial 16S ribosomal RNA". It matches the Rfam family "Bacterial small subunit ribosomal RNA", at positions 524 to 776 of the family's 1533-position model. The record is from RNAcentral.